GAUGAACGCUGGCGGCGUGCCUAAUACAUGCAAGUCGAGCGAACGGACGAGAAGCUUGCUUUUCUGAUGUUAGCGGCGGACGGGUGAGUAACACGUGGAUAACCUACCUAUAAGACUGGAAUAACUUCGGGAAACCGGAGCUAAUACCGGAUAAUAUUUUGAACCGCAUGGUUCAAAAGUGAAAGACGGUCUUGCUGUCACUUAUAGAUGGAUCCGCGCUGCAUUAGCUAGUUGGUAAGGUAACGGCUUACCAAGGCAACGAUGCAUAGCCGACCUGAGAGGGUGAUCGGCCACACGGGAACUGAGACACGGUCCAGACUCCUACGGGAGGCAGCAGUAGGGAAUCUUCCGCAAUGGGCGAAAGCCUGACGGAGCAACGCCGCGUGAGUGAUGAAGGUCUUCGGAUCGUAAAACUCUGUUAUUAGGGAAGAACAUAUGUGUAAGUAACUGUGCACAUCUUGACGGUACCUAAUCAGAAAGCCACGGCUAACUACGUG
This 497-nucleotide ribosomal RNA is filed under the name uncultured bacterium. RNAcentral describes it as "partial 16S ribosomal RNA". It matches the Rfam family "Bacterial small subunit ribosomal RNA", at positions 28 to 507 of the family's 1533-position model. The record is from RNAcentral.